RNAcentral lists this ribosomal RNA (315 nucleotides) under uncultured eukaryote. RNAcentral describes it as "partial 18S ribosomal RNA". It matches the Rfam family "Eukaryotic small subunit ribosomal RNA", at positions 1470 to 1796 of the family's 1831-position model. The record is from RNAcentral.
CCCUUAGACGUUCUGGGCCGCACGCGCGCUACACUGACCAGUGCAACAAGCAUCCGUCCUUGGCCGACAGGCCCGGGCAAUCUUUGAACGCUGGUCGUGAUGGGGAUAGACUUUUGCAAUUUUUGGUCUUCAACGAGGAAUUCCUAGUAAACGCAAGUCAUCAACUUGCAUUGAUUACGUCCCUGCCCUUUGUACACACCGCCCGUCGCACCUACCGAUUGAAUGGUCCGGUGAAGCCUCGGGAUUGCGAAUGCUUCGUGCGGACGCGAGAACUUGGCUAAACCUUACCAUUUAGAGGAAGGUGAAGUCGUAACA